UGUCAGCGAUUUGAAUUUGGCCCGCGGCGACAGGCGAUGGGCGGAGGUGGAGGCGUGGCGGAAGCGCCAAGGAGGGGAAUCCCCAAGCCAAUCAUAGUCCACAGACCUCCCGGUCCUAGCCUAUCGCUGCUCUCCCUUUCCUUCCAUCGACCGGGAGAGUACGCUCAGGGGAGCUUGGCGCGUGUGCAGGGCGCGAGAAGAGAGCAAGCCAGCAGCAAGCAGUGGAGCCUGGGGUGGGCCAGGGGAUGGAGGCGCUCUCUCGUGCAGGACUGCAGGUUCACAGGGGACGGGGUUAGUAGGGCGGUGAAAGAACUCGCGAACUAGCUUGUACCCCUGAGUUCGCGCAGCGUGCCCCUUUUCUCUCGGCACCAGAGUCUGCAUGUUAUGGCCUUGUCCUAGGAAAACAAAUUCUAACAUACUUCAAGUCCUAUAGGCCCCGAUGGUGAGAGAGAACACCUUUUCUUGCGUGCUGUAUUACUCUUCAUUUCUUGAGUUGCUUUGUGCUACCCACUGCCUGAGCAGAAGAAAGUGGUUCCCAAAGCAGUGCUACAGGAUCAUUCUCCUCGUGAAGAAAGGAUAUUUCUCAAGAGAACUUCUCUUCUCAGUUUGAACAAUAUUCUUUCGAAGAUCAAUCCUACCGUUGGUCCCUUGGGAAUCUACUUCACAGGGCUGCUUUCCAAAAAGUAAUCAUGAUGGAGGAAAAAACUGAAAACCAGAUGGAAUGGUUCUUAAACUUUAUGACCCUGGGCAUGGAUAAAAGCUUCUCAAAAAUCUGGAUUAGCAGUUCAUUGGCCCAUAUGCCAGGGCCAUAUGCAGAGGUGUCUCACUGCCUGGAAUCUGAGGAGGCACUCACCAAAGAGCCAUCUGAAGAGCAAGCCUUGUGCUUCCUGACAGAAAUUGUUCGAUUUCCUUGAUUCCUGCCCCAUUUGAUGAAUGGAACCAUACUGGAGUUGCCUCUUUAGCUUGUUACUAUUUCCCCAAGGGUGACUGAAGGGACAUUUGUAUCACCUGGAUUGAACCACUUCUAAAAAAUAGACUGGGUCGAUCAGAAGAGUAUUAUAUUUCCUAUUUCCUGGCAGAUCGACAUGCAGAGGUCACAACGCAGAUAGCAAGAUUUUGUGCAGCAGCUUGUAAAUCAAAAAGGGAACAACUUAGCUGUAACUGAAAUUUUAUAUAAUUUGAUACGGUGCCACUAAGUUAUGUUUUGAUUUUGUUCUGUUAUGUUGACUUAUGCUUUGUGUGUAUUUUGACUGGUCAUGGACUGUAAUAAACUAUUA
Hemicordylus capensis (graceful crag lizard) is the source of this 1277-nucleotide long non-coding RNA. RefSeq lists it as uncharacterized. The record is from RefSeq and is a predicted model, not a curated record. The transcript has 7 exons. Lineage: Eukaryota; Metazoa; Chordata; Lepidosauria; Squamata; Cordylidae.